This 2016-nucleotide unclassified non-coding RNA is filed under the name Hevea brasiliensis (rubber tree). Lineage: Eukaryota; Viridiplantae; Streptophyta; Magnoliopsida; Malpighiales; Euphorbiaceae. The record is from RNAcentral.
UGAAAAACUAGUAUGAUAUGCUAUGCAUCCAUUUUGCUGUGUUCCAACAAUUAACAACAAUUGCCAAUCUUCACCGUUACCGAUGGCUCCGCCGCCGGCGCCGGAAUUUACUAGAUCGGCUGACUCACUCAACCGCUCUGCUAGCGGGAGUUACAAUCAUAAUUGGACUGUAAGUAACUCCAAUCAUCACCGUCAUCGCAGUUUGACCGAGUCAUCCUCGUCAACGCCGGCGAUUUUCACUUCUUUAUCACGGCCAACUUCUAUGAGGGAGGUGAUUCAGUUGACGUGUGCUGCAUCCGCUGGCGAUCAAGUCAAGAUCAACGACAUCGUUGGGAAUGGUAUAUCCGGAAUUUUACACAAGUGGGUUAACUAUGGAAAGGGAUGGAGACCUAGGUGGUUCGUCUUGCAGGAUGGAGUUUUAUCCUAUUAUAAGAUCCAUGGACCGGAUAGGAUUGUUGUCAAUUCGGAGACUGAGAAAGGAUCUAAAGUUAUUGGUGAAGUCUCACUUAGGAGAAUCUCCAGGAACAAGACGAAUGCAACUUCUCAAGCUCGCCGCAAGCCUGUUGGUGAAGUUCAUCUCAAGGUCUCAUCCAUCCGUGAGAGUAGAUCAGAUGACAGGAGGUUUUCGAUUUUCACUGGAACAAAGAGGCUGCACCUGAGGGCUGAGACAAGAGAGGACAGAAUAGCAUGGAUGGAAGCAUUGCAGGCUGUGAAAGAUAUGUUCCCCAGAAUGUCCAACAGUGAAUUAAUGGCUCCCGUGGACGAUGUAGCUGUCUCAACAGAUAAGUUGAGGCAACAACUGAUGAAGGAGGGUGUGAGUGAGUCUGCUAUUCAGGAGAGUGAGCUGAUAAUGAGGAAUGAGUUUGCAUCUUUGCAGAAUCAACUGAUGCUACUCAAGCAAAAGCAUCGGAUGCUUAUGGACACCUUGAGACAGUUAGAGACAGAAAAGGUCGAUUUAGAGAAUACUGUGGUUGAUGAGAGUCAAAGGCAGUGUAAAGAGGUCGGACCAUCUGCUCAAUUAAGGCAAGAUAAAUACAGUGAAGCAAGUGCAAGUGAAUCGGAGGAUGACAAUGAAAGAGUUGAUGCUGCUGAGGAAGAUACUGAUGAUGAAGAGAACACUUUCUUUGACACUAAAGAUUUUCUUUCAUCAAGCUCUUUUAAAAGCAGUGGUUCUGAUUUUCGAACAUCAUCUUUCUCCUCGGAUGAUGAUGAUUUGUAUGCAUAUGCAUCUGAUGAAAGUGUCGAUCCUAUUAUUAGAUCUGCUGGAACCAAGUUUCCUUAUGUUAAGCGUCGUAAGAAAUUGCCUAAUCCCAUUGAGAAAGAGAAAGGAGUCAGUUUAUGGUCGAUGAUCAAAGACAAUAUUGGGAAGGAUCUCACAAAAGUGUGCCUCCCUGUCUACUUCAAUGAACCCCUUUCUUCUUUGCAAAAAUCAUUUGAAGACUUGGAGUACUCAUACCUUCUUGAUCGGGCUUCUGAAUGGGGAAGAAGGGGUGACAACCUUAUGAGGAUUCUCAAUGUAGCAGCGUUUGCCGUAUCUGCAUAUGCUUCUACUGAAGGAAGGAUUUGCAAACCAUUCAAUCCGUUGUUAGGGGAGACUUAUGAGGCUGAGUAUCCAGAUAAAGGCCUUCGGUUUUUCUCAGAAAAGGUAAGUCAUCAUCCCAUGAUAAUAGCAUGCCAUUGUGAGGGUACAGGAUGGAAAUUCUGGGGAGAUAGCAAUUUGAAAAGCAAAUUUUGGGGUCGCUCAAUCCAGUUGGAUCCUGUUGGUAUAUUGACUCUUGAAUUUGAUGAUGGGGAAAUCUAUCAGUGGAGCAAGGUAACUACAUCGAUAUACAAUCUGAUUUUGGGGAAACUAUAUUGCGAUCACUAUGGUACAAUGCGCAUACAAGGAAAUCGUAAUUACUCUUGUAAGCUGAAAUUCAAGGAGCAAUCAAUAAUAGACCGGAAUCCACAUCAGGUUCAGGGAAUAGUUCAAGACAGGAGUGGGAAGACAGUAGCUACAUUAUUUGGGAAGUGGGA